CACACGACUCUCGGCAACGGAUAUCUCGGCUCUCGCAUCGAUGAAGAACGUAGCAAAAUGCGAUACCUGGUGUGAAUUGCAGAAUCCCGCGAACCAUCGAGUUUUUGAACGCAAGUUGCGCCCGAGGCCUUCUGGCCGAGGGCACGUCUGCCUGGGCGUCACGC
This 164-nucleotide ribosomal RNA is filed under the name Sorghum nitidum. RNAcentral's name for it is "5.8S ribosomal RNA". It matches the Rfam family "5.8S ribosomal RNA". Rfam says of the family: 5.8S ribosomal RNA (5.8S rRNA) is a component of the large subunit of the eukaryotic ribosome. It is transcribed by RNA polymerase I as part of the 45S precursor that also contains 18S and 28S rRNA. Functionally, it is thought that 5.8S rRNA may be involved in ribosome translocation. Lineage: Eukaryota; Viridiplantae; Streptophyta; Magnoliopsida; Poales; Poaceae. The record is from RNAcentral. RNAcentral also lists the same sequence under 10 other names.